Long non-coding RNA from Manis pentadactyla (Chinese pangolin), 3233 nucleotides. RefSeq lists it as uncharacterized. The record is from RefSeq and is a predicted model, not a curated record. The transcript has 5 exons. NCBI's taxonomy places the organism in Eukaryota, Metazoa, Chordata, Mammalia, Pholidota, Manidae.
GGGGAGUCAGCAGAGGUGCAUCAGCUGAUCAUGCUUCUGACAACAUCAUUGUGCCUGCAUUUGUGCUGUCCUCUGCAGUGGUGACUUUACUAUGAUGAUGAGGACGGCACUUAUGAUGCUGUGCACUAUCUUUGAAGAAGGAUUGGACUUCCAAAGAAAAUUCCUCUAGAGACCAGCUAGAAGAACAUUGAAGGAAAGAAAACAAAUUUUUCAUCCACAACAGUUGAUGCAGUCAGCAGGAUAAACUUCUAGAUAUUUACUCCAAAAAUCCUGCAGCUUUGAUAACCUGGAACAUCUGACAUACACUUGGCAGAAGAAAUCUUCCAUGUCAGUGAAACUCCAAAUAUCAGUGGAAUGGACAUUAGAGCUCAUGGUAGAAGCCUCUUAUUUAUGGAUAAGGAAACCAGACUAUUGAGAAGUAACUUGACCAUUGGAGAUGACCAUAACUGAAGAAAGGUGCUGGGAAUCCGGCUGGAGAGCAACAACCAUACAAAACCUCACAAUUUACAACCUCAGUGCUACCUAAGUGUUGAAAUGAGAAAUAGACUGCAUACUUCCAGGCCAAUGGGGAUAUUUCCAACAAUUUCCUCUUCUCAGUGAGUUCCCUAAGAGCUCAGUAUACUUCACUAUUAUGACAUUUACUGGGCUAUUAUUCUUGCCAGAAAGAAAACUGCAUUGUCCAGUUUUCCUUUACAUUGAAUGAUAAGGACUAGAGCCUCAGGGUAUUGACAGACUUAAAAAUGUUCAUCUUUAAUUGAUAAUUUAUGGGAUUUGGUGUCCCCAAAUGGGCCCCAAUUUUUUUUUAUUCUGGUAUCAUUGAUAUAUACUCUUAUGAAGGUUUCACAUGAAAAACAUUGUGGUUACUACAUUCAUCCAUAUUAUCAAGUCCCCUCCCAAACCCCAUUACAGUCACUGUCCAUCAGUGUAGCAAGAUGCCAGAGUCACUACUUGCCUUCUCUGUGCUACACUGUCUUCCCUAUGAUCGCCCCCACACCAUGUGUGCCAAUCAUAGUACCCCUCAAUCCCCUUUUCCCUCCCUCCUCACCCACCUUCCCCCACCCCUCCCCUUUGGUAACCACUAGUCCCUUCUUGGAGUCUGUGAGUCUGCUGCUGUUUUGUUCCUUCAGUUUUGCUUUGUUGUUACACUGCACAAAUGAAGAAAAUCAUUUGGUAUUUGUCUUUCUCCUCAAAUGGGCCCAAAUUUACAUUUUCAUGAGAGUUCACACGUGAUCAGAUUUUCUCUUCUGAUGGUCACAUUUGAUUUGGUUAGUAAUACUUACACUGUUAUGCACAGCUCCAGGAUAUUUAUGAGGAGACUAAUCCCCAAACACAUCUUUAUUUGUUGGGUAUAAUCAUUUCAAGUUGCGUAAGUAAAGAUGAAGAAAAUUGGUUUUGGAAUAAUGGAAUUUCUAAUAAAUGGGAAAUAAAGUCAGUUUCCAAGGAAGAUAUUGUAAGAUGCCCAAAUGUAAAGUGAUUAAAUUACAUUUCCAUGAAAAGUAACAAAACUACCCAUGAUAGUUUCUGUUGUCCACGUGACCCUUGGUGGGCAUGGUGAGAGCUGGAUACUGGGCCUGGCAGACAGCUAGCAGGGCGCAUAACCAGCAGCUUACCCUGACACCAGAAUCUCCUUUGGCAGUUCAUCACGAAUCAGCAUUAGAUGUCAAUGAAAACUUCCACAGAAAAUACUAUGUGUCCUAUCUAAAGAAAUGGUUGACAUCAUUUUUCUUUGUCUACUGAGCAUAUUUUUAAGCUAUGAAAAUAAUAAAAUAUGUAUUUUUUAUUUGUUGCAGGCUAAUUGAUUAAUGCACAAUGUUCCUUUAGCACUAAUGAGUCAUUUUGUUCUUCCUGGAUUAAAGUGGAGUGGUGUCCAGAGACCAACAAAACCUUGAGUUGGAUGCAUAGCAGGAACCUUUUGUAAGAGUAUCUGCCAGCAUUUGAACUGAUUAUGGCUGUGCAGGUACAACUACAUAGCUAUGAACAAAGAUAAUUACCAAGAACAUAGCAACCUAAAGACAUCUACAGCCAUUAUGUUUGGCAAAAUACUGUAUUGGCCUGUGUUGUAAUUAUAACCAUCAAAAUAUAAUUACACAGGAACAGGUUACUUUAAAAAAUAUUAAUAGUUGAGAGGUUGUUGUAUCUGAUACUUGUGGCUCCCCCUGCCUCCCAGCUGUUGGCCUUUGAUCUGCCCCAGCUACGGCGGUAACCAGCUUCAUGUGAGCACAACCCAUUGGCCUGUACCUCCACCUAUGCCGGGUACCUCUCACCUCCUGACUCUGGGCUUCCUUGCUGCAAUGAGACAUGACACGUAUGGGAUGAUGCCCACAUGUGAAUAACCCAGGGCAAUGAGGGGUAUCAGCCAUCAGAGGGGAGACUUUUUACCCAGUCCUGGAAACCAGGAGCCAGGUUCAUCUCCUUCCUUCUUCCCUCUGCACAAACUGCCCUAAGAGGCAGGAAUUCAUACAGCUUUAAGAAUGCCUUUGAGAGUGAGCAAUCAGUUGUUCCUGACACCAAGCAGUGACUAGUUAGAAAAGUGGUCAGGCUGGUAAUGCACCACCUUGUAUUUGAGUCCCCUCCUUCCCUAUCUCCUUCCUCUUUUCUAUCACAGAUGCUUCUCUGGCAUUGUAUUUCUUAAUAAAGUAUGAGAUUUUGCCUCAAUACUCUUUUUUCUAAGGAAUCUAGGAUAUGACAAGUCAGAGUGAUGACAGAAUCUAUCUCUGGAAGAAUUUCCUUUAUUGACAGUGUUAUUUAUGCAAUAAACUUUGUGAGAAUAAUAAAUAUCUCCUUCAUUCAUAGCUUAGCUACUUUGUUGGCUUUCCAUAAAACAUCCUGGCCAUGUGGCAAAUUGAUCUGAAAGAGACCUGAAACUCACUGAAUCAGGUGAGCCUCAAGCUCAGGGCAUAUCAGCUACUACUUGCUUUAGGAAAAGCCAGAGGAUCUAAGGCAUUGAGGUCCCAAAUUGCUUUUCCGUAGGUUUUGUGCCCCUGGGAUAAUGUUGGCAUUUUGUCUUUUCUCUUCUGGAUUCAAGAUAGUAAGCAUUGACCAUAUGUCAGCUAAGGGCCAACUUUCAGCUGAGAUUAGCUGGCAGCAGAGUACUAGAACUAAAAUCUACAGAAACACUGUAAGUCAAGAAUACACCGCACAUUUACAAUGAAGAUAUAUUACUUUUGAAAUCAAAAGAAAACACAUGCUAUUUUUUUUUAACACUAAAAUUAACUGACUAGACUAUAACUGGC